CAUGUUGGAUUUGUGGAAUCGC
This 22-nucleotide non-coding RNA is filed under the name Arabidopsis thaliana (thale cress). The record is from RNAcentral. Lineage: Eukaryota; Viridiplantae; Streptophyta; Magnoliopsida; Brassicales; Brassicaceae.